UGUGACAUCAUCUGUGAAAGUCAAGGAGGGACGAAUGGAAGGUAAUCAUAAAGGUCAAGCUUCAAAAGCUUAUAAAAGUACCAUAUAGUAAUGCAUAUCAUUUAUUUGCUGUGUUCUAUAAACUUCUGAAGUUGUUCAAAUAAUUUGUGUGAAAAAGAGACUGAAAUAUAGGCCGUUCUUCAUCUGGCCCAUAUGUAUCCAUCUUUUGUAAAGCCAACAACGUGGUAAAGUUUCCUUUUCUAAUGUGAAAAUGUUAUGAAUAAAGCUUAUUAUUAAAAGUUCCUCUCCUUUCUCUUUAUCUCAGGUGAUAGUGAUAGUUGAACAGUAAAAUAUGAUUAGUUUAAUGUACUGUAUACUUUCAAAUGAAAUAGCAAAGUAAAAUAGCUAAUAAGAUAAAUUGAGCAAAUUAACACCAAUUAAACAAAUGAUUAAGAAGAAUAAAAGUUGGAAGAUAAGACGAAAUAUACCAGUGAUAGUAAAAGUGAACAAGUUCUGCUGCUAGUUUCUCACACACACUGCUGUGCUUGUGCUGUUUUUUCAGACCGAGCGAGAUUGUGUGUGUAAACCCCUUCAGAAGCAGGAUCUGCUUUUAGACACAGCAAUGAGGAUCGUCCAGACUGAACUCCACAUCAGAGAAACUCACCCUAUGAGAUACACACACCGAUUCAGCACUGUAGAUCAUUCACAGCAGGAAAAAGACCAACGCUUCCUGUGUCUUUCGCUGCAGUGUUAGAUUUAGGCUGAUGGCAAAAUGUUGCAUGAUCCUUGAAAACCAUUACCAAAACUACACAAGAUGAAAGAAAAAAUGAUAUGUAAAUCACAGUUCUGACAUAAUGCACUGUAAAUGACAUCAAGAUUGGAAUGUUUGGAAUCAUCAGCUCUUUUAGUUUCACUGAAGGCAGAUCCUGGAAGACUGCAGCAGAGUUCCACUGUUGCCGAGGAGACAGCUGUCAAUCAUCAGCAGCUGCUGGAAUGCUCCAUUGAGACGCUUCAGGGGGAGCUCAGCUGUGCUGUGAAAGAUGGAGAGACCCUGAGAGAAGAGAGACAUCAGAUGAAGAGGAAGGUGGAGAUGACCACGGUGAACUCAGCACUGCAGAAACAGAAGGAGGACAACAAGGAGCUGAUGGAGAGCCUGGCAGCCUUCAGCAUCAGCAGGUUUAACAUCAAAAGAUCACAGAGUCAGAUGCACGUCAAACGAAGAGUGUGCUACACCUGGAAGAGAGUUUGAAACGGCUCCCGGAUGAGGCAGAAGUGAGACUCGGGGAAGUUUAUCUGGAGUCACAGCAGGUAAACAAACCCCACCAACAUCAGUUUAUACACAAGCAAUAUUAAUAGAGACAUUUAAUGAGAGAAUUGUUAUUGUUGAGUAAACUAUCCCUUUCAACUGAAUCCGAAUGCUGUUGUGUUUCCGAUGUGAUCGUCUCCUGUGUUCUAAAAUCCUGAAAUUGAUGCUCAAAAGCAUGUCAGAUUUUAGGAUGCUCCUUCUCUGAUCACAGCCAGUGUUGAAAUCAUGCAAGCUCUCCAGAGAAUGGAAAUUUAUUUUGCCUUGCAAUUUUGCCUUUGAUAUGGUUCCUUCGUUU
RNAcentral lists this long non-coding RNA (1580 nucleotides) under Carassius auratus (goldfish). RNAcentral describes it as "lncRNA (ENSCARG00000023878.1)". Lineage: Eukaryota; Metazoa; Chordata; Actinopteri; Cypriniformes; Cyprinidae. The record is from RNAcentral.